UAAGGAAUAUUGGUCAAUGGACGCAAGUCUGAACCAGCCAUGCCGCGUGGAGGAUGAAGGCCCUCUGGGUUGUAAACUUCUUUUAUAGGGGAAGAACUCUAUCUUUUCUAAGGUAGUUGACGGUACCCUGUGAAUAAGCACCGGCUAACUCCGUGCCAGCAGCCGCGGUAAUACGGAGGGUGCAAGCGUUAUCCGGACUCACUGGGUUUAAAGGGUGCGUAGGUGGGCAGGUAAGUCAGUGGUGAAAUCUCCGGGCUUAACCCGGAAACUGCCGUUGAUACUAUUUGUCUUGAAUAUAGUGGAGGUGAGCGGAAUAUGUCAUGUAGCGGUGAAAUGCUUAGAUAUGACAUAGAACAUCGAUUGCGAAGGCAGCUCGCUACUCUAUUAUUGACACUGAGGCACGAAAGCGUGGGGAUCAAACAG
This 423-nucleotide ribosomal RNA is filed under the name uncultured bacterium. RNAcentral's name for it is "bacterial SSU rRNA". It matches the Rfam family "Bacterial small subunit ribosomal RNA", at positions 355 to 775 of the family's 1533-position model. The record is from RNAcentral.